ACUCCUGCGGGAGGCAGCAGUGGGGAAUUUUGGACAAUGGGGGCAACCCUGAUCCAGCAAUGCCGCGUGAGUGAAGAAGGCCUUCGGGUUGUAAAGCUCUUUUGUCAGGGAAGAAACGGUGGUGGCGAAUAACUACUACUAAUGACGGUACCUGAAGAAUAAGCACCGGCUAACUACGUGCCAGCAGCCGCGGUAAUACGUAGGGUGCAAGCGUUAAUCGGAAUUACUGGGCGUAAAGCGUGCGCAGGCGGUUGUGUAAGUCAGAUGUGAAAUCCCCGGGCUCAACCUGGGAAUUGCAUUUGAGACUGCACGGCUAGAGUGUGUCAGAGGGGGGUAGAAUUCCACGUGUAGCAGUAAAAUGCGUAGAUAUGUGGAGGAAUACCGAUGGCGAAGGCAGCCCCCUGGGAUAACACUGACGCUCAUGCACGAAAGCGUGGGGAGCAAACAGGAUUAGAUACCCCUGUAGUCCCAUG
Molecule: ribosomal RNA, 473 nt
Filed under: uncultured organism
Description: partial 16S ribosomal RNA
Rfam family: Bacterial small subunit ribosomal RNA
Source: RNAcentral